UACGGAGGGUGCAAGCGUUAUCCGGAUUCACUGGGUUUAAAGGGUGCGUAGGCGGGCAGGUAAGUCCGUGGUGAAAUCUCUGAGCUUAACUCAGAAACUGCCAUGGAUACUAUUUGUCUUGAAUGUUGUGGAGGUAAGCAGAAUAUGUCAUGUAGCGGUGAAAUGCUUAGAGAUGACAUAGAAUACCUAUUGCGAAGGCAGCUUACUACGCAGAUAUUGACGCUCAUGCACGAAAGCGUGGGGAUCAAACAGG
Molecule: ribosomal RNA, 253 nt
Filed under: uncultured bacterium
Lineage: Bacteria
Description: partial 16S ribosomal RNA
Rfam family: Bacterial small subunit ribosomal RNA
Source: RNAcentral